Cannabis sativa is the source of this 714-nucleotide long non-coding RNA. RefSeq lists it as uncharacterized. The record is from RefSeq and is a predicted model, not a curated record. NCBI's taxonomy places the organism in Eukaryota, Viridiplantae, Streptophyta, Magnoliopsida, Rosales, Cannabaceae. The transcript has 2 exons.
GUUUAUUAAAAUGAAAUAAAUAAAAUGAAUUUUGUAAGAAAAAUUUGAAAGAUAUAAAUAGAAAAUGAUAAGUGAAAACCCUAAUCCCCAUUUCUCUUUCAUUCUCUCCCGAGCUCUCUUUGUCUUCUCUUUGUGCAGCACGGCGGUGCAACAACAAAUCCGGCCACUGCCGGCGCUAGUGGUUCAAACGAACCAGAAAACAAGUUUCCCCCAACCCGAAAACCCCAACCCCUCUCCCUCUUCCUUGUCUCUCUCUCGCUCCCGUUCUCUCUCUCUCUCCAUUUUCUCUUGCACGGUGGCGCUGCCAGGCCAUGGCCAUUUCCCCGAGCGAUGGCUGUAACUUUUUGAUUUGAAGGACAUUGCAAUAUUGCAUAUGCACGAGAGGUUCGGAGAAUCGUUGGGGAAAGCUGAAGGCUUCGAACGACUGUGUUGUUUGCCUGACCAUGGCAUUGAGGCGAAAGAUGAAGGCUUCGAUACCCCAGGAUCGGAGGUGCACAACACAUUGGGAAAAGCCAUAGAUCUGAUCUGGUUGAUGGCCACAACAUCCAUGGAUCUGAUCUAGUCUCCCUCUCAUUUUAUCUUCCUUUAUUUUUUUUUUCUUCAGAAUUGUAUCAUAUUAAUUUUGUGUAAUAAUCUUUGAUUUUUUACAGUUUUAAUGAAUUAUGAUAUAUUUUUUUUUUGAAAUAAAUGAAUUGGGAUAUUUAAAUUUUGAAA